GUGACUGCUUCACCAGUGGGGACUUUGGCAACAACUGCAAUUGUAAUAACUGUUGCAACAACUUGCAUCAUGAAAUUGAACGGUUUAAAGCCAUUAAGGCAUGUCUUGGUAGAAAUCCAGAAGCUUUCCAGCCCAAAAUUGGGAAGGGCCAGCUGGGCGACGUCAAGCCCCGGCACAGCAAAGGGCGCAGCUGCAGGAGGUCGGGCUGCCUGAAGAACUACUGCGAGUGCUGUGAGGUGGGUGCCGUCUCCCGAGCUGAGCCACUCACAAAACACACAGCUACACAUUUUGAGUAACUCUUGUGGUUAAAAAACUUCACGGUAAUUUAAAAAGAUAACUAUCA
Sapajus apella (tufted capuchin) is the source of this 343-nucleotide long non-coding RNA. RefSeq lists it as uncharacterized. The transcript is spliced from 2 exons. The record is from RefSeq and is a predicted model, not a curated record. Lineage: Eukaryota; Metazoa; Chordata; Mammalia; Primates; Cebidae.